Molecule: transfer RNA, 72 nt
Filed under: Ovis aries (sheep)
Lineage: Eukaryota; Metazoa; Chordata; Mammalia; Artiodactyla; Bovidae
Rfam family: tRNA
About the family: Transfer RNA (tRNA) molecules are approximately 80 nucleotides in length. Their secondary structure includes four short double-helical elements and three loops (D, anti-codon, and T loops).
Source: Rfam by way of RNAcentral
UCCCUGGUAUCUCAGACGGUAAAGAACCUGCCUGCAAUGCAGGAGAUCUGGGUUUAAUCCCUGGGUAGGAAA